AUGUUAAGGAUAUUUUCAUGUGUCUAUUGGCCAUCUGUAAGUCUUCUUUGGAGAAAUGUCUAUUUGUGUCCUCUGCCCAUUUUUUUCUUAAAUUGGAUAAUUUGUUUUUUUGGUGUUAAGCUGUGUAAGUUCUUAUAUAUUUUGGAUACUAAUUUGAUCAGAUAUGUCAUUUGCAAAUAUAUUCUCUCAUUCAGUGGGCUGUCUUUUAGAUUUGUUGUUUCCUUUGCUGUGAAGAAGCUUUUUAUCUUGAUGAAGUCCCACAGGUUCAUUUUAUCUUUUGUUUCUCUUGCCUUUGAAGAUGUGUCAUGAAAAAGGUCGCUGUGGCCAAUGUCGUAGAGGUUGUUGCCUAUGCUCUCCUCUAGGAUUUUGAUGGAUUCCUGUCUCACAUUGAGGUCUUUCAUCCAUUUGGAGUUUAUCUUUUUGUAUGGUGUGAGAGAGUGGUCAAGUUUCAUUCUUUUGCAUGUUGCUGUCCAAUUUUCCCAGCACCAUUUAUUGAAGAGACUGUCUUUUUUCCACCGGAUGUUUUUUCCUGCUUUAUCAAAGGUUAGUUACCCAAAGAGCUGAGGGUCCAUUUCUGGAUUCUCUAUUCUAUUCCUUUGGUCUAUGUGUCUGUUUUUGUGCCUUUACCAUGCUGUCUUUGUGAUCACAGCUUUGUAGUACAGCUCGAAAUCCAGCAUUGUGAUGCCCCCAGCUUUGUUUAUCCUUUUCAGCAGUUCCUUGGAGAUUCGGGGCCUUUUCAGUUCCACACAAAUUUAAGGACUAUUUGUUCCAGUUCUUUGAAAAAUGUCAUUGGUAUUUUGAUCGGGAUGGCAUUGAAAGUGUAGAUUGCUCUGGGUAGCAUGGACAUUUUAAUUAUGUUAAUUCUUCCGACCCAUGAGCAUGGAAUAUUUUUCCAUCUUUUUGUGUCUUCUUCAAUGUCUUUCAAGAGUGAUUUGUAGUUUCUAGAAUAUAGAUCACUUACGUCUCUGGUUAAGUUAAUUCCAAGAUAACGUAUGGUUUUUGGUGCUG
RNAcentral lists this long non-coding RNA (1008 nucleotides) under Ursus thibetanus thibetanus. RNAcentral's name for it is "lncRNA (ENSUTTG00000001614.1)". The record is from RNAcentral. Lineage: Eukaryota; Metazoa; Chordata; Mammalia; Carnivora; Ursidae.